CUAUGCGCCUUGCCACGCCCGCUCAGAAACUUAAAGGAUUGACGGGGCCCGCACAAGCGGAGGAACAUGUGGUUUAAUUCGAUGAUACGCGAGGAACCUUACCUGGGCUUAAAUGGGGAGUGACAGCUGUCGAAAGAUGGUUUUCUUCGGACACUCUUCAAGGUGCUGCAUGGUUGUCGUCAGCUCGUGCCGUGAGGUGUCGGGUUAAGUCCCAUAACGAGCGCAACCCUUACCGUUAGUUACCAUCAGGUUAAGCUGGGGACUCUAGCGGGACUGCCACCGUAAGGUGAGAGGAAGGUGGGGAUGACGUCAAAUCAGCACGGCCCUUAUGUCCAGGGCUACACACGUGUUACAAUGGCCGGUACAAAGGGCAGCUACUUCGCGAGAAGAUGCUAAUCUCGAAAGCCGGUCUCAGUUCGGAUCGAAGUCUGCAACCCGACUCCGUGAAGCUGGAUUCGCUAGUAAUCGCGCAUCAGCCACGGCGCGGUGAAUACGUUCCCGGGCCUU
RNAcentral lists this ribosomal RNA (507 nucleotides) under uncultured Sphingobacteriales bacterium. RNAcentral's name for it is "bacterial SSU rRNA". It matches the Rfam family "Bacterial small subunit ribosomal RNA", at positions 904 to 1382 of the family's 1533-position model. Lineage: Bacteria; Pseudomonadati; Bacteroidota; Sphingobacteriia; Sphingobacteriales. The record is from RNAcentral.